This is a long non-coding RNA of Haliotis rubra (blacklip abalone), 179 nucleotides long. RefSeq lists it as uncharacterized. The transcript has 3 exons. Lineage: Eukaryota; Metazoa; Mollusca; Gastropoda; Lepetellida; Haliotidae. The record is from RefSeq and is a predicted model, not a curated record.
UCGUUUGUUAAACAAUUUUUUUAUUCGGGUGUCCCAAAUUAUGAGACAAAUCAUCAGAGUUGGUCUGUCGAUUUCAUGUGACUGUGCAAAAUUUGGUUUUGUUGCCUUUAUUAGAUUUUGUUUUAGUGAGCAGUUCAUCGGUCUCAAAUGAAAUCAAACGGACUAUAGUGCGAAAUAAA